CCUACGGGAGGCAGCAGUGGGGGAUAUUGCACAAUGGAGGGAACUCUGAUGCAGCGACGCCGCGUGAGGGAAGAAGGUUUUCGGAUUGUAAACCUCUGUCUUCGGUGACGAAACGAGACGGUAGCCGAGGAGGAAGCUCCGGCUAACUACGUGCCAGCAGCCGCGGUAAUACGUAGGGAGCGAGCGUUGUCCGGAAUUACUGGGUGUAAAGGGAGCGUAGGCGGGGAUGCAAGUUGGGUGUCAAAACUACCGGCUCAACUGGUAGUCGCACUCAAAACUGCAGCUCUUGAGUGAAGUAGAGGCAGGCGGAAUUCCUAGUGUAGCGGUGAAAUGCGUAGAUAUUAGGAGGAACACCAGUGGCGAAGGCGGCCUGCUGGGCUUUUACUGACGCUGAGGCUCGAAAGUGUGGGGAGCAAACAGGAUUAGAUACCCGGGUAGUC
This 440-nucleotide ribosomal RNA is filed under the name uncultured bacterium. RNAcentral's name for it is "partial 16S ribosomal RNA". It matches the Rfam family "Bacterial small subunit ribosomal RNA", at positions 338 to 795 of the family's 1533-position model. The record is from RNAcentral.